This 73-nucleotide transfer RNA is filed under the name Chitinivibrionales bacterium. RNAcentral describes it as "tRNA-Gln". It matches the Rfam family "tRNA". Rfam says of the family: Transfer RNA (tRNA) molecules are approximately 80 nucleotides in length. Lineage: Bacteria; Pseudomonadati; Fibrobacterota; Chitinivibrionia; Chitinivibrionales. The record is from RNAcentral.
UGGGGUGUAGUUCAGUUGGUAGAACGCCUGACUCUGGAUCAGGAAGUCUGAGGUUCGAAUCCUCACACCCCAG